Molecule: ribosomal RNA, 478 nt
Filed under: uncultured bacterium
Lineage: Bacteria
Description: bacterial SSU rRNA
Rfam family: Bacterial small subunit ribosomal RNA
Source: RNAcentral
CUCGGGACGAACGCUGGCGGCGUGCCUAACACAUGCAAGUCGAGCGAGGAGAUCCUUCGGGAUGAUCCUAGCGGCGGACGGGUGAGUAACACGUGGGCAACCUGCCUCAUAGAGAGGAAUAGCCUUCCGAAAGGGAGAUUAAUACCUCAUAACAUUGCAGUUUCGCAUGGAACAGCAAUUAAAGGAGUAAUCCGCUAUGAGAUGGGCCCGCGGCGCAUUAGCUAGUUGGUGAGGUAACGGCUCACCAAGGCGACGAUGCGUAGCCGACCUGAGAGGGUGAUCGGCCACAUUGGGACUGAGACACGGCCCAGACUCCUACGGGAGGCAGCAGUGGGGAAUAUUGCACAAUGGGGGAAACCCUGAUGCCAGCAACGCCGCGUGAGUGAUGACGGCCUUCGGGUUGUAAAGCUCUGUCUUCAGGGACGAUAAUGACGGUACCUGAGGAGGAAGCCACGGCUAACUACGUGCCAGCCGCGGC